Molecule: small RNA, 24 nt
Filed under: Arabidopsis thaliana (thale cress)
Lineage: Eukaryota; Viridiplantae; Streptophyta; Magnoliopsida; Brassicales; Brassicaceae
Description: ATSL211330
Source: RNAcentral
AAAGAUGAGAAGAAACAUGAAUCA